GCCGCCGUAGCUCAGCUGGGAGAGCGACCGGCUGAAGAAUGCUCGGCAGAGACCGGUAGGUCCGGGGUUCAAAUCCCCGCGGCGGCA
RNAcentral lists this transfer RNA (87 nucleotides) under Desulfurococcaceae archaeon AG1. It matches the Rfam family "tRNA". Rfam says of the family: Transfer RNA (tRNA) molecules are approximately 80 nucleotides in length. The record is from Rfam by way of RNAcentral. Lineage: Archaea; Thermoproteati; Thermoproteota; Thermoprotei; Desulfurococcales; Desulfurococcaceae.